Molecule: long non-coding RNA, 717 nt
Filed under: Struthio camelus australis
Lineage: Eukaryota; Metazoa; Chordata; Aves; Struthioniformes; Struthionidae
Description: lncRNA (ENSSCUG00000011815.1)
Source: RNAcentral
CAUCUCCUUGGUCACAGCUGACAGUUUGCAAUGCCUAACUAACCUGUCUGUGAGGAUAGUGCCGCACUGAAUUGCAGAUAGCUUGGUAGUCAGAGAUUACAUCAAGCAGUCUACGAGUAGAGAAGAAAAAAUAGAUAUAUUCAGCAUUUAAGUUGGGCUUCCAAGGAAUUGUAUCUGUGGUACAGUGAAUAUUAUUAAGUACGCUGCAGUGUUAUCUGCAUCUAUCAGGGUUGAAAAGGAUAGCAGACAGGCAUGAAAUCCUGCUCUUCAACAACAGUGCAAGAAAUAUGAAUUCUCUUCCAGAUUAAUAUUCAAAGCUUCAGCUGCUUGUUUAAGCUCUCUUUACUUGAACAGGAGCUGUCAUUUCUCCCAUUCUGGGAGAAAAGUUCCACUGACAUGAAGUGAUUGUGAUGGGCAAUUUGCUGGAAAAUGAGACGAUUGGACAGUCUGAUGCAGGUUAAAAUGGAAUUGACCCUCUGUAGAUGUUUUCUUAAUGCUUCUUUCAUAAGUGAUGCCAGACAAAGUCAUACCCAGUUCAAGAGCAUGGAUGUUGGCAGUCACGAAUGCAGUGGGUCUCCUAUUUUCUGCUCUCGAGCAGUGGCGGCGAGAGGAGGAACUGUGACGUUUGUAGCUCAGCAGGGAGUAUCUGGGGACCCAGAUGUACUGAGAAUGCUGCAGCAAAGAUGACUUUUUCCAAACCUGUAAGUCUCUUUCUGC